Molecule: ribosomal RNA, 408 nt
Filed under: uncultured cyanobacterium
Lineage: Bacteria; Bacillati; Cyanobacteriota
Description: bacterial SSU rRNA
Rfam family: Bacterial small subunit ribosomal RNA
Source: RNAcentral
UCCGCAAUGGGGGCAACCCUGACGGAGCAACGCCGCGUGCGGGACGAAGGCCUGUGGGUUGUAAACCGCUUUUCUCAAGGACGAAGAUCUGACGGUACUUGAGGAAUCAGCCUCGGCUAACUCCGUGCCAGCAGCCGCGGUAAGACGGAGGAGGCAAGCGUUAUUCGGAAUUAUUGGGCGUAAAGCGUUCGUAGGCGGCUUAUCAAGUCUGCGGUUAAAGCCCAGGGCUCAACCCUGGAGAGGCCGUGGAAACUGUUAGGCUAGAGUGCGGUAGGGGUAGCGGGAAUUCCCAGUGUAGCGGUGAAAUGCGUAGAUAUCGGGAAGAACACCAGCGGCGGAAGCGCGCUACUGGGCCUGCACUGACGCUGAGGGACGAAAGCUAGGGGAGCGAAUGGGAUUAGAUACCCC